UGGGGAAUUUUGGACAAUGGGGGAAACCCUGAUCCAGCCAUCCCGCGUGUGCGAUGAAGGCCUUCGGGUUGUAAAGCACUUUUGGCAGGAAAGAAACGUCGCGGGCUAAUACCCCGCGAAACUGACGGUACCUGCAGAAUAAGCACCGGCUAACUACGUGCCAGCAGCCGCGGUAAUACGUAGGGUGCAAGCGUUAAUCGGAAUUACUGGGCGUAAAGCGUGCGCAGGCGGUUCGGAAAGAAAGAUGUGAAAUCCCAGAGCUUAACUUUGGAACUGCAUUUUUUAACUACCGGGCUAGAGUGUGUCAGAGGGAGGUGGAAUUCCGCGUGUAGCAGUGAAAUGCGUAGAUAUGCGGAGGAACACCGAUGGCGAAGGCAGCCUCCUGGGAUAACACUGACGCUCGUGCACGAAAGCGUGGGGAGCAAACAGGAUUAGAUACCCUGGUAGUCCACGCCCUAAACGAUGUCAACUAGCUGUUGGGGGCCCUUCGGGGCCUUGGUAGCGCAGCUAACGCGUGAAGUUGACCGCCUGAGGAGUACGGUCGCAAGAUUAAAACUUAAAUGAAUUGACGGGGGUCAUAGCUGUUUCCCU
This 591-nucleotide ribosomal RNA is filed under the name uncultured bacterium. Its description in RNAcentral is "partial 16S ribosomal RNA". It matches the Rfam family "Bacterial small subunit ribosomal RNA", at positions 355 to 1376 of the family's 1533-position model. The record is from RNAcentral.